CGUAUAUGCAAAGAAGCUGUGAAUAUUCACGAAGAAGAAACUGAAGUCAAUACUGAACCGUCAACGUCAAUUACUGAAAUUUCAACGUUGUCAACUACAAC
Aethina tumida (small hive beetle) is the source of this 101-nucleotide long non-coding RNA. RefSeq lists it as uncharacterized. NCBI's taxonomy places the organism in Eukaryota, Metazoa, Arthropoda, Insecta, Coleoptera, Nitidulidae. The transcript is spliced from 3 exons. The record is from RefSeq and is a predicted model, not a curated record.